UGAGGCUAGAAGAAGCUCAGCAUGGUUUUGCUGAAAACAAUUCAAUAGUGGAAAAAUUGGGUUUUGAAAUAGAGACCUUCCUUAAAGCCAAGUGGAUUGCUAAUUCUAAGAUUACUGAUAACAAGUUGCCAAGGGAAUGCCGGAAUUCAAUGGAAUCUGUUCCCCUGAAUGUGGUUGGGAGUGCACCUCAGGAUGUCGGUGAUGAAGAGGAUUCUGCAAGUAGCGAUUCACAUUGUUUUGAGCUUAACAAACCAAGUAAUGUUGAAUUUAACAUGCAUGGAGAUGAUGCUGUAGGUGGACAUAUUGAUGAAACAGUCAAAUCUAGUCAAACAAAAAAGUUUGCAUCUGGUGAG
Molecule: unclassified non-coding RNA, 353 nt
Filed under: Hevea brasiliensis (rubber tree)
Lineage: Eukaryota; Viridiplantae; Streptophyta; Magnoliopsida; Malpighiales; Euphorbiaceae
Source: RNAcentral